Molecule: non-coding RNA, 622 nt
Organism: Cricetulus griseus (Chinese hamster)
Lineage: Eukaryota; Metazoa; Chordata; Mammalia; Rodentia; Cricetidae
Source: RefSeq, a predicted model, not a curated record
CCCAGUGUUUGGACUAGAAGCAAGCAGUACCAUGACCAACUAUUGCACACGGCUUCUGAGGGCUGAGCUCAGGUCACUAAGCAAGCACAAAUGGGCAGGAGGAGGGCUCCUGAUGCCUCCAAAGGAAGGAAAUCAUUACAGGGCCCUACAGAAGUAGGUCGUGUGCUACAGCUGCUCAUAGUUUGGGAGGAAGAAACAUCGGACCUCAAACCUGGAACACGACUCUUUCAAAACGUUUGUGAGCAGCCCAAGAAAAACAUCCUCCCGAGUCUUAUCUAAUAAGCGUGAUCUCUAAUCGCCUCAGUGUGUGCCCGGCUUGCGUUAAGACUUUGCACCUAACUUCCCCGGGCUUGGGGAAUGCUGGGGCAGAACACAGAGAGCCUUAAUGAAGGGGAUUUAAUAGUUUGUGUUAAAGCUAAUAUGGUCCAUUAGGAGCUGUCAUUUUUAUAAACAAUGGAGAUAUGUUACCCUCUUCUAGGGUGGAAAGUCAUUCCUCGCAAGACCUUGUAAACAUUCAGUAACAAUCUGUGGAACACGCAUGACCGACAAUUAAAGCACCCGCCUAGAAAGCGGGAUUCCCCUCACAUAUUUGGUUUCUGGCUAAAUAAACUCAUAAAGAUCA